RNAcentral lists this ribosomal RNA (724 nucleotides) under Striatoidium sp. MUMH 3088. Its description in RNAcentral is "eukaryotic LSU rRNA". It matches the Rfam family "Eukaryotic large subunit ribosomal RNA", at positions 1 to 739 of the family's 3401-position model. Lineage: Eukaryota; Fungi; Ascomycota; Leotiomycetes; Helotiales; Erysiphaceae. The record is from RNAcentral.
UUGACCUCGAAUCAGGUAGGGAUACCCGCUGAACUUAAGCAUAUCAAUAAGCGGAGGAAAAGAAACCAACCGGGAUUACCUCAGUAACGGCGAGUGAAGCGGUAACAGCUCAAAUUUGAAAUCUGGCUCCUUCGGAGUCCGAGUUGUAAUUUGUAGAAGAUGCUUUGGGUUGUAGGUUCGGUCUAAGUUCCUUGGAACAGGGCGUCAUAGAGGGUGAGAAUCCCGUAUGCGGCCGUGACCUGCGCCCGUGUAAAGCUCUUUCGACGAGUCGAGUUGUUUGGGAAUGCAGCUCAAAAUGGGUGGUAAAUUUCAUCUAAAGCUAAAUAUGGGCCAGAGACCGAUAGCGCACAAGUAGAGUGAUCGAAAGAUGAAAAGCACUUUGGAAAGAGAGUUAAACAGUACGUGAAAUUGUUGAAAGGGAAGCGCUUGCAACCAGACUUGGGCGUCAUGGAUCACCCGAGGUUCUCCUCGGUGCACUCGAUGACGCGCAGGCCAGCAUCGGUUUGGAUGGCUGGAAAAAGGCCCUAGAAAUGUAGCUCCUCGCGGGGAGUGUUAUAGUCUAGGGCGCAAUGCAGCCCACCCGGACCGAGGACCGCGCUUCGGCUAGGAUGCUGGCGUAAUGGUUGUAAGCGACCCGUCUUGAAACACGGACCAAGGAGUCUAACAUCUAUGCGAGUGUUUGGGCGUUAAACCCAUACGCGGAAUGAAAGUGAACGUAGGUGAG